This 1484-nucleotide ribosomal RNA is filed under the name metagenome. Its description in RNAcentral is "bacterial SSU rRNA". It matches the Rfam family "Bacterial small subunit ribosomal RNA". The record is from RNAcentral.
AGAGUUUGAUCCUGGCUCAGAUUGAACGCUGGCGGCAUGCCUUACACAUGCAAGUCGAACGGUAACGCGGGGGCAACCCUGGCGACGAGUGGCGAACGGGUGAGUAAUACAUCGGAACAUAUCCAGUAGCGGGGGAUAACCUAUCGAAAGAUGGACUAAUACCGCAUACGAUCUACGGAUGAAAGCAGGGGACCGCAAGGCCUUGCACUAUUGGAGUGGCCGACGUCGGAUUAGCUAGUUGGUGAGGUAAAGGCUUACCAAGGCGACGAUCCGUAGCUGGUCUGAGAGGACGAUCAGCCACACUGGAACUGAGACACGGUCCAGACUCCUACGGGAGGCAGCAGUGGGGAAUUUUGGACAAUGGGCGCAAGCCUGAUCCAGCCAUGCCGCGUGAGUGAAGAAGGCCUUCGGGUUGUAAAGCUCUUUCGGUGAAGACGAAACGGUUAGCGCUAAUAACGCUGACUAAUGACGGUACUCACAGAAGAAGCACCGGCUAACUACGUGCCAGCAGCCGCGGUAAUACGUAGGGUGCAGGCGUUAAUCGGAAUUACUGGGCGUAAAGCGUGCGCAGGCGGUUUGCUAAGACAGGUGUGAAAUCCCCGAGCUUAACUUGGGAAUUGCGCUUGUAACUGGCAAGCUAGAGUGUGGCAGAGGGGGGUGGAAUUCCACGUGUAGCAGUGAAAUGCGUAGAUAUGUGGAGGAACACCGAUGGCGAAGGCAGCCCCCUGGGUUAACACUGACGCUCAUGCACGAAAGCGUGGGGAGCAAACAGGAUUAGAUACCCUGGUAGUCCACGCCCUAAACUAUGUCAACUAGUUGUCGGGGAAGAAAUUCCUUGGUAACGAAGCUAACGCGUGAAGUUGACCGCCUGGGGAGUACGGCCGCAAGGUUAAAACUCAAAGGAAUUGACGGGGACCCGCACAAGCUGUGGAUUAAUUCGAUGCAACGCGAAAAACCUUACCUACCCUUGACAUACUAGGAAGCCCGCAGAGAUGUGGGUGUGCCCGAAGGGGAACCUAGACACAGGUGCUGCAUGGCUGUCGUCAGCUCGUGUCGUGAGAUGUUGGGUUAAGUCCCGCAACGAGCGCAACCCUUGCCAUUAGUUGCUACAUUUAGUUGGGCACUCUAAUGGGACCGCCGGUGACAAACCGGAGGAAGGUGGGGAUGACGUCAAGUCCUCAUGGCCCUUAUGGGUAGGGCUUCACACGUAAUACAAUGGUCGGUACAGAGGGCUGCCAACCCGCAAGGGGGAGCUAAUCCCAGAAAGCCGAUCGUAGUCCGGAUUGUAGUCUGCAACUCGACUGCAUGAAGCCGGAAUCGCUAGUAAUCGCGGAUCAGCAUGUCGCGGUGAAUACGUUCCCGGGUCUUGUACACACCGCCCGUCACACCAUGGGAGUGGGUUCCACCAGAAGUAGUUAGCCUAACCGCAAGGAGGGCGAUUACCACGGUGAGAUUCAUGACUGGGGUGAAGUCGUAACAAGGUA